RNAcentral lists this ribosomal RNA (450 nucleotides) under uncultured Glomeromycotina. Its description in RNAcentral is "SSU rRNA". It matches the Rfam family "Eukaryotic small subunit ribosomal RNA", at positions 569 to 1023 of the family's 1831-position model. The record is from RNAcentral. Lineage: Eukaryota; Fungi; Glomeromycota.
AGCAGCCGCGGUAAUUCCAGCUCCAAUAGCGUAUAUUAAAGUUGUUGCAGUUAAAAAGCUCGUAGUUGAAUUUCGGGAUCGACGGGUCGGUCGCGCCUCUGGUGUGUACUGGCCCUGUCGGUUUCUCCCUUCUGACGAACCACGAUGUCAUUAAUUUGGUGUCGUGGGAAAUCAGGACUGUUACUUUGAAAAAAUUAGAGUGUUUAAAGCAAGCAUUCGCUUGAAUACAUUAGCAUGGAAUAAUGAAAUAGGACGUUUGAUCUUAUUUUGUUGGUUUCUAAGAUCGACGUAAUGAUUAAUAGGGAUAGUUGGGGGCAUUAGUAUUCAAUUGUCAGAGGUGAAAUUCUUGGAUUUAUUGAAGACUAACUACUGCGAAAGCAUUUGCCAAGGAUGUUUUCAUUAAUCAAGAACGAAAGUUAGGGGAUCGAAGACGAUCAGAUACCGUCGUAG